AACGAACGCUGGCGGCAUGCCUAACACAUGCAAGUCGAACGAGAACUUCGGGCCUAGUGGCGCACGGCUGCGUAACGCGUGGGAACCUGCCCUUAGGUUCGGAAUAACUCACUGAAAGGUGUCCUCAUACCGGAUAAUGUCUUACGACCAAAGAGUGAUGGCCUUGGGAUGGGCGCGCGUUGGAUUAGCUAGUUGGUAGGGUAAAAGCGUAUCAAGGCGACGUUCCAUAGCUGGUCUGAGAGGAUGAUCAGCAACGCUGGGGCUAAGACACAGCCUAGAGUCCUACGCAAUGCAGGAGUGUGGAAUAUUGGACGAUGGGGGAAAGCCUGAUCCAGCAAUGCCGCGUAAGUGGUGAAGGCCUUAGGGUAGUAAAGCUCUUUUACCCGGGAUGAUAAUGACAGUACCGGGAGAAUAAGCACCGGCUAACUCCGUG
Molecule: ribosomal RNA, 433 nt
Filed under: uncultured bacterium
Lineage: Bacteria
Description: partial 16S ribosomal RNA
Rfam family: Bacterial small subunit ribosomal RNA
Source: RNAcentral